GCUCUGGACAUUUUUUGAUUUUGCAUUUUCUUGUUGGACCAUUGAAUUGGAUCCUUUAAAUAUGUGGAUGUUCUGGGCAAACUGUGGGAAAAUAAGAAGAGAACAUGACGUUAUUCCAAGUUGUACCUUCAAAC
Molecule: long non-coding RNA, 134 nt
Organism: Mastomys coucha (southern multimammate mouse)
Lineage: Eukaryota; Metazoa; Chordata; Mammalia; Rodentia; Muridae
Exons: 3
Source: RefSeq, a predicted model, not a curated record